This 497-nucleotide ribosomal RNA is filed under the name uncultured bacterium. Its description in RNAcentral is "partial 16S ribosomal RNA". It matches the Rfam family "Bacterial small subunit ribosomal RNA", at positions 28 to 507 of the family's 1533-position model. The record is from RNAcentral.
GACGAACGCUGGCGGCGUGCCUAAUACAUGCAAGUCGAGCGGUGAAGCUCGGUACUUGUUCCAACUGGAUGAGCAGCGAACGGGUGAGUAACGCGUGGGGAAUCUGCCUUUGAGCGGGGGACAACAUUUGGAAACGAAUGCUAAUACCGCAUAAAAUCUUUAAACACAAGUUUUAAGUGUGAAAGAUGCAAUUGCAUUCCUCAAUGAUGAUCCCGCGUUGUAUUAGCUAGUUUGUGAGGUAAAGGGUCUCCCAGGGGAUGAUAGAUUGGCGGCCUGAGAGGGUGGGCGGCCACAUUGGGACUGAGACACGGCCCAAACUCCUACGGGAGGCAGCAGGAGGGAAUCUUCGGCAAUGGACGAAAGUCUGACCGAGCAACGCCGCGUGAGUGAAGAAGGUUUUCGGAUCGGAAAACUCUGUUGGUAGAGAAGAACGUUGGUGAGAGUGGAAAGCUCAUCAAGUGACGGUAACUACCCAGAAAGGGACGGCUAACUACGUG